This 76-nucleotide transfer RNA is filed under the name Klebsiella pneumoniae. RNAcentral's name for it is "tRNA-Ala". It matches the Rfam family "tRNA". Rfam says of the family: Transfer RNA (tRNA) molecules are approximately 80 nucleotides in length. Their secondary structure includes four short double-helical elements and three loops (D, anti-codon, and T loops). The record is from RNAcentral. Lineage: Bacteria; Pseudomonadati; Pseudomonadota; Gammaproteobacteria; Enterobacterales; Enterobacteriaceae.
GGGGCUAUUGCUCAGCUGGGAGAGCGCGUGCAUGGCAUGCAAGAGGUCAGCGGUUCGAUCCCGCUUAGCUCCACCA